UACAGAGGAGCCAAGCGUUGUCCGGAUUGACUGGGCGUAAAGCGCACGCAGGCGGUUUCGCGCGGGGGGGGGGAAAUCUGGCCGCUUAACGGCCAGGCGCCAUCCCAUACGGCGCGACUGGAGGGCUGCAGAGGUCGAUGGAAUUGCCGGUGUAGUGGUGAAAUGCGUAGAGAUCGGCAGGAACACCCAGGGGGAAACCAGUCGACUGGGCAGCACCUGACGCUGAGGUGCGAGAGCGUGGGGAGCGAACCGG
Molecule: ribosomal RNA, 253 nt
Filed under: uncultured bacterium
Lineage: Bacteria
Description: partial 16S ribosomal RNA
Rfam family: Bacterial small subunit ribosomal RNA
Source: RNAcentral